UACGAAGGGGGCUAGCGUUGCUCGGAAUCACUGGGCGUAAAGCGCACGUAGGCGGAUUGUUAAGUCAGGGGUGAAAUCCUGGAGCUCAACUCCAGAACUGCCUUUGAUACUGGCGAUCUCGAGUCCGGGAGAGGUGAGUGGAACUGCGAGUGUAGAGGUGAAAUUCGUAGAUAUUCGCAAGAACACCAGUGGCGAAGGCGGCUCACUGGCCCGGUACUGACGCUGAGGAACGAAAGCCAGGGGAGCAAACGGG
RNAcentral lists this ribosomal RNA (253 nucleotides) under uncultured bacterium. RNAcentral's name for it is "partial 16S ribosomal RNA". It matches the Rfam family "Bacterial small subunit ribosomal RNA", at positions 524 to 776 of the family's 1533-position model. The record is from RNAcentral.